This is a non-coding RNA of Salmo salar (Atlantic salmon), 54 nucleotides long. Lineage: Eukaryota; Metazoa; Chordata; Actinopteri; Salmoniformes; Salmonidae. The record is from Rfam.
AAUGCACCAAUUUGUAAGUCGCUCUGGAUAAGAGCGCCUGCUAAAUGACUAAAA